UACAUAUUGAUGCGGUAAGGUGUUUACCAGCCAGAUUUGGUAGACUUAAUAGGGAAGUCGGUGAGAAUCCGACGCGGUCCCGCCACUGUAAUGAGAGAGUUCCAUUUGCGAAAGAAGGCCACUGAUCAUGAGGAUCGGGAAGGUGAAAAUGGAGCGAUGAUCCAAAAGCCAGGAGACCUGCCUAACCGCUUGCACUGUU
Molecule: non-coding RNA, 199 nt
Filed under: Brevibacillus brevis
Lineage: Bacteria; Bacillati; Bacillota; Bacilli; Caryophanales; Paenibacillaceae
Also listed under: 1 other name
Source: RNAcentral